This 750-nucleotide ribosomal RNA is filed under the name Triticum aestivum (bread wheat). RNAcentral describes it as "partial small subunit ribosomal RNA". The record is from RNAcentral. Lineage: Eukaryota; Viridiplantae; Streptophyta; Magnoliopsida; Poales; Poaceae.
AUGUCGUGCAGCCCGCGCUCAGUCACCUCCUCCUUCCGUCGGGCCGGCGAGCGGCCGGUGGUGUCGGGCCUUGGCCUGUCCUCCUGUUCCGAGGCUUCGGAUGUGCAGGGGCCGGCCGGUUGGGAGGCCGCCGCUGGUGCCCUGGCGCCACCUAAGGCUCCGGAGUGGGUGCAGGCUCGCCCUUCCCGGAAGGAGCUUUGGAGGCGUCGUCGCGUGGAUGGUGCUGGCGCGUCCAGAGAGGCGCCUCCGCCCAGAGCGCGCCCCGCGGUCUUGCCGGAGAUGGAGGGGCUCUGCUUCAAGUGCUUCGAAGAAGGGCACUUCAAGAACGACUGCACCAACCAGGUGGUCUGCUUCCGCUGUAAGCUGCCAGGCCACGAGUCCAAGGACUGCAAGAGGCCACGGAGUCCGUCGCCGGAGGAGGAGCACAGGCGCUCGACGGCUGCUAAGGUCGCACGCAAAGAGCUGGCCGCCGGGUCGUCGCAGAGGGCGCCGCCACCGCCACCUCCUCUGGCCCUGCAUGUGGCGCCGGCUGCGUGGCCGCGCAUCUUCUCGCCACGGCUCGAGUCCCCGGAGCGCGAGCAGUUCAUUGCCCAAGACCUUUGCGUUAUCCGACGCUCGCCGAGCAUGGGAUAUCUGGAGCGGAGGCUGCAAUUCGCCAUGGUGGCCUACGUAGGUGGAGCAAGACACGACAUCUCCCCCGAGUUCGUCGUUCAGGCGUUGGGUGCAGCAGUGGGCAUCGAGCCGGAGUAG